AUGCAUAUCUUUGUCAAGAACCCCACCGGCAGGACAAUUCGGAUCAAGGUCCACUCAUCAGACACCUUGUACACCGUCAAGGCAAAGAUCCAGCAGCAGUACCACCUCGUCUUUGGUGGGUUGCAGCUAGAAGACAACCGUACAUUGGCCGAUUAUGGCAUCGAGCAUGACUCUACGAUUGACCUCCAGGAAAAGAUGCAAAUUUUCGUUACGGAGACGCUGUCAGGCAGGACCAUCGCCCUCGAGGUCGACAGCCUAGACACUAUUAGCAACGUGAAGUCCAAGAUCCAGGACAUGGAGGGCUUUCCCAAGGGCCAGCAGUGCGUCAUCUUCGCCAGCAAACAGCUGGAGGACGACAACCGCACCUUGGCUGACCACAACAUCUGGAAGGAGUCCACCCUCCUCCUUGUCCUCCGCCCAUGUAGGCCAGGAGAAAGUAGGAUGAUGCACCUCUUUGUCAGGACCCUUGAUGGGAGGACCCUGGACCUUGACGUCAGGAGCUCGGACACCAUCAACACUGUCAAGGUGAAGAUCUACGAGAAGGAUGGCACUCCCCCUAUACAGCAGCGCAUCAUCUUUGCUGGCAAGCGGCUGGAGGAUGGCCGCACCCUGGCGGACUACAAGAUUGAGAGCGAGUCUACCGUUGAUCUGGUGCUCCGCCUUUGUGGUUGCUGA
Molecule: ribosomal RNA, 675 nt
Filed under: Triticum aestivum (bread wheat)
Lineage: Eukaryota; Viridiplantae; Streptophyta; Magnoliopsida; Poales; Poaceae
Description: partial small subunit ribosomal RNA
Source: RNAcentral